This 461-nucleotide ribosomal RNA is filed under the name Anelosimus studiosus. RNAcentral's name for it is "partial 16S ribosomal RNA". The stretch from base 68 to 368 matches the Rfam family "Bacterial large subunit ribosomal RNA", at positions 2074 to 2646 of the family's 2925-position model. The record is from RNAcentral. Lineage: Eukaryota; Metazoa; Arthropoda; Arachnida; Araneae; Theridiidae.
CAUUCAAAUUUCUUUAUUAAUUUUUAAUAAAUAAUUUAUAUUAAAUAUAAAAAUAUGUUUAUGAAAAAAAAAGACGACAAGACCCUAUUAAAUUUUACUUAUAGUUUAGCUGGGGAAGCUUUUCAAUUAAAAUUUUUUAAAAUUUUAAAAUAAAUAUCUAAUUUAAAUUAAAAUUUAAAUAAAUUACUAUAGGGAUAACAGCAUUAUAUUUUUUAAAAGUUCAUAUUAAAAAAAAUGAUUGUGACCUCGAUGUUGAAUUAUAUUUUCUAUAUUUAAUGCAAUAAUUAUAAAAGUAGAUCUGUUCGAUCUUUAAAAUAUUACAUGAUUUGAGUUCAAACCGGUGUAAACCAGGUUGGUUUCUAUCUUUUUAUAUAUUUUUCCAGUACGAAAGGACAAAAAAAUUUUUAUUUUAAUAAAUUAGCAAAUAUAAUGCAUUAGAUUUAGAAUCUAAAUAUAUUUAA